AACGAACGCUGGCGGUAUGCCUAACACAUGCAAGUCGAACGAGACCUCCGGGUCUAGUGGCGCACGGGUGCGUAACGUGUGGGAACCUGCCCUUAGGCUCGGAAUAACACCCCGAAAGGGGUGCUAAUACCGGAUAAUGUCUUCGGACCAAAGAUUUAUCGCCUUUGGAGGGGCCCGCGUUGGUUUAGCCGGUUGGUAGGGUAAAAGCCUACCAAGGCGACGAUCCAUAGCUGGGCUGAGAGGAUGAGCCGCCACACUGGGUGUGAGACACGGCGCAGACUCCUACGGGAGGCAGCAGUGGGUAAUAUUGGACUAUGGGCGAGAGCCAGAUCCAGCAAGGCCGCGAGAGUGAUGAAGGCCUGAGAGAAAAAAAGCUCUUUUACCCGGGGUGAUAAUGACAGUACCGGGAGAAUAAGCUCCGGCUAACUCCGUG
This 433-nucleotide ribosomal RNA is filed under the name uncultured bacterium. RNAcentral describes it as "partial 16S ribosomal RNA". It matches the Rfam family "Bacterial small subunit ribosomal RNA", at positions 29 to 507 of the family's 1533-position model. The record is from RNAcentral.